This 481-nucleotide ribosomal RNA is filed under the name uncultured bacterium. RNAcentral describes it as "partial 16S ribosomal RNA". It matches the Rfam family "Bacterial small subunit ribosomal RNA", at positions 28 to 507 of the family's 1533-position model. The record is from RNAcentral.
GAUGAACGCUGGCGGCGUGCUUAACACAUGCAAGUCGAACGAAGCAUUUGCGACAGAUUUUUUCGGAAUGAAGUUGCUUAUGACUGAGUGGCGGACGGGUGAGUAACGCGUGGGUAACCUGCCUUGUACUGGGGGAUAGCAGCUGGAAACGGCUGGUAAUACCGCAUAAGCGCACAAUGUUGCAUGACAUGGUGUGAAAAACUCCGGUGGUAUAAGAUGGACCCGCGUCUGAUUAGCUAGUUGGUGAGAUAACAGCCCACCAAGGCGACGAUCAGUAGCCGACCUGAGAGGGUGACCGGCCACAUUGGGACUGAGACACGGCCCAGACUCCUACGGGAGGCAGCAGUGGGGAAUAUUGCACAAUGGAGGAAACUCUGAUGCAGCGACGCCGCGUGAGUGAAGAAGUAAUUCGUUAUGUAAAGCUCUAUCAGCAGGGAAGAUAGUGACGGUACCUGACUAAGAAGCUCCGGCUAAAUAUGUG